AUGGGUGAAAUUGGGGUUAAGGCCGUGAGCCCCAUGUCCGUGAGCAUCCCGAUUAGCUUGUACCCGCCCCGGCGCUUAGUACAGCGCCUGGCAGAUAGGAAGCGCUUAACGAACACCAUUCCCCCCCCCCCCCCCAACAAGUCACAUUAUGACAAUUUCCUCCUCUUCCUGAGUACAUUGAAAUCGACGCCCUUCCGAGCCUAUAGAUUCCCACAUUCCCUUAUUUCCACGUUCCCCUUUCCAUCAGGAGACUCUGUUACGCCGGGACCCCCUUCGAGUGCAGGGUGGGAGUUACCCCCGUUAUUCUCAUCAUUGGCCCCCGGAGUUGGCGCCUACCCCUGCCGAGCAGGUCGGCGUGGGACCAAGAUGAGCGAUGGGCAGAAGAUCUCAGCCUCCAUCAACGGGUUGCGGCUGCCGGGCUCGGCGGAGGGCGGGGCGGGCCGGCCGGUCCGGGCCGUGAGCCUCCGGCCCCCCCCCCGCCCGGCUCGGCCCCCGCUGCGCCGACUCGGCCAUCCCGACCCUGGAGAUCGGCGACCCCGAGGCCGUCCAGUGCGGCGCGCCGGGCGUCCGGCCGAAGCCCCGCGAGCCCCCGGCCCGGCCGGCCCCCCGCCCGGCGUCGCCGCCCUCCCCGCCGUCGUCCUCGUCCUCCUCGGCGUCGUCGGCGUCCUCGGCGGAGCGGGAUGGGUCCGCCGGCCCCCGGUCCGCCUUCCCCGGCGGCGGGCCGGCCCCCGGCCGCGGCGACGGGCCCGCGGCGGGCGACGGGGCCGGCCCGGGCCCCGAGGACGGGGCCGACUUCACGGCCACCAGCGGCUCCAGCGCCAUCGUCACCCUGGGCGGCGACGAGGCCCCCUUCUCCGACGUGACGCUCAGCUCGGCCAAGGACGGCGGCCGCCCGGCCCGGCCCCCGCCCCCGCCCGGCCCCGCCGGCCCCGAACCCGCCGGGACCGCGGGCUCGGCCGCGGCGGGCAACUUCUUCACCAGGUAAGGCCGGCCGGGCGUUUUCCCCCGGGGCUGCUCGCCGG
This 1022-nucleotide long non-coding RNA is filed under the name Ornithorhynchus anatinus (platypus). RNAcentral describes it as "lncRNA (ENSOANG00000043852.1)". Lineage: Eukaryota; Metazoa; Chordata; Mammalia; Monotremata; Ornithorhynchidae. The record is from RNAcentral.